GAUGAACGCUGGCGGCGUGCCAAUACAUGCAAGUCGAGCGAACAGACGAGGAGCUUGCUCCUCUGACGUUAGCGGCGGACGGGUGAGUAACACGUGGAUAACCUACCUAUAAGACUGGGAUAACUUCGGGAAACCGGAGCUAAUACCGGAUAAUAUAUUGAACCGCAUGGUUCAAUAGUGAAAGACGGUUUUGCUGUCACUUAUAGAUGGAUCCGCGCCGCAUUAGCUAGUUGGUAUGGUAACGGCUUACCAAGGCAACGAUGCGUAGCCGACCUGAGAGGGUGAUCGGCCACACUGGAACUGAGACACGGUCCAGACUCCUACGGGAGGCAGCAGUAGGGAAUCUUCCGCAAUGGGCGAAAGCCUGACGGAGCAACGCCGCGUGAGUGAUGAAGGUCUUCGGAUCGUAAAACUCUGUUAUUAGGGAAGAACAAAUGUGUAAGUAACUAUGCACGUCUUGACGGUACCUAAUCAGAAAGCCACGGCUAACUACGUG
Molecule: ribosomal RNA, 496 nt
Filed under: uncultured bacterium
Lineage: Bacteria
Description: partial 16S ribosomal RNA
Rfam family: Bacterial small subunit ribosomal RNA
Source: RNAcentral